AGAAAAUCGAUGAGUAAGAAGAGUAUGUAUAUAAUAGGCGCUUCAGAGAGCUGGGAUUAGGUGAGAGCCCAGUGCGAUACGAUAUACAGAAUGGGCUUACGAGAGGUAUGCUGAACGAAUAGUAGGUAUACACGGGUUCCGCCGUUACAAGGAUAGGGUAUAAUAUUGUACCUGAACAAAGCGGGAUGCUAUGCAUCCAAUAAGAGGUGGUACCGCGGUAAAAAUUUAUCGUCCUCUGC
Molecule: non-coding RNA, 239 nt
Filed under: Bacillus manliponensis
Lineage: Bacteria; Bacillati; Bacillota; Bacilli; Caryophanales; Bacillaceae
Description: T-box sequence
Rfam family: T-box leader
About the family: Uncharged tRNA acts as the effector for transcription antitermination of genes in the T-box leader family. T-boxes are found upstream of many aminoacyl-tRNA synthetase genes and some amino acid biosynthetic genes usually in Gram-positive bacteria.
Source: RNAcentral